Molecule: long non-coding RNA, 313 nt
Organism: Pelmatolapia mariae (spotted tilapia)
Lineage: Eukaryota; Metazoa; Chordata; Actinopteri; Cichliformes; Cichlidae
Exons: 3
Source: RefSeq, a predicted model, not a curated record
ACAGCUGUCACCACCUCUCCACCAUGCAGAGCCUGCUGGGGCUGGGUGGCCGGCGGCGGAGGAGGAGGGGGAAGAGGAUCGUCGCUGUCUAGAUCAACGUCAGGAGGAAGACCGUCGCUGAGCACAUUUUUCACCUGCAGAAACUCAUCCGUGCGGUCACCUCCUAUGAUGGUAAAUCCAAAUCCUUGGGAGCUCUUCUUCAGCGCUGUGUGGCUUCUGCCGUUAUGACACCGUGGAAAAUGUUUAUAAACCCAGUGGAAGUUAAAGAGGGGGGCGCAUUCUGCAUUGUUACCUUGAGAAGGUGCUGCUGCGG